This 1266-nucleotide ribosomal RNA is filed under the name Triticum aestivum (bread wheat). Its description in RNAcentral is "partial small subunit ribosomal RNA". The record is from RNAcentral. Lineage: Eukaryota; Viridiplantae; Streptophyta; Magnoliopsida; Poales; Poaceae.
AUGAGUGCGGCGGGUGUGGAUGGAUCCGACAAGAAAAGAAGCAGGUCCAGCCGAGACGAUCCCUUGGCCUUGCCGGAGAAGAAGAAGAAGGUGAGUGUGCGGAGAGACGAGGCAUCGUUGCCUGAUCCAGACGCGUGGGUUCUCAGCGAUGCCGACUUGGCCAGGAUGAAAUGCGCCCAAGAAUCAGCUCCCCGCCCUGUGAAAAUCCCUACGCUCGAUUACUUCAAACCCCCGACCAGGUUUCACACCGCCGAGGUCUUCGCCGUCCGUGAUUCAAGCGAGGCCGCGCUCUCUGCUGCCAAAUUUCUCCUAGGGGUUUCAUCCUCUCUUGAUGGUGAACCGCUGAGACGCUGCUCCGGCUUCUGGGUCGAUUGGGAUGAGGAGAAGAAAACCGGCCUUGUUUUGACAACUGCGCGUCUGAUUCGCACAAAGGAUUCUCCUGACAGCGGCUGGUCAGGCGGCCAAGAGUAUGCUCCUCGUGCUGAUGUCACUGUUCAUUUGCUAAAUGGCACCAGUGCAAAGGGCGAUCUGGUCUACUACCAGCCCCAUUACGAUAUCGCUUUCUUGAAUGUUGAGGUGGGUCAACCAAUCAAGUUACCAUCUUUUCGUGAAGAAGAUGUUAAAUUUGCUCAAGAUGUUUUUCGGCUCGGAAGAGAUGAUUCCUUAAAUCUAAGGAUAACAUAUGCUAGGGCAGAAUAUAAGAAUCCAAACAUGUAUCGGCGGUACCACAAUGUGCACUUCCGUUCUCCAGAUGACCAUGGUGAUGAUAAUGAGUAUGACAAUGGGGGCCUAGUCAUUGACUUGAAUGAAAACGUUGUCGGAAUGGUCAACCUCCCUAAGAGAUUUGGGUCUUUUAUACCUUCUUCCAUUUUGCUCAACUGUUUGGAUUCAUGGAAGAAAUAUCGGUGCAUCGCCCGGCCCCAUCUUGGGAUGAUGUUUCAAGCCAUCAAGCUUCUAGAACCUGCUCAUGUUGACAUGUUAUGGCGAAUGUAUAACAUUGAUCAUGGUCUUAUUGUUCAAGAGGUGUCGAAAGGAUCUAAUGCUGAGAUACUCGGAAUCCAAAAAGGUGAUGUUAUUGAAUCUAUCAAUGGAAAACCUGUUUCUACCACAAUCGAGUUGGAAAAUACGCUGAUGAUCACAUGCAAGGGCCCUUCAGGUGCUGAAGUUCAUAUUUCUGUUGGGGUGUUUCACACACUCAAAAAACAACGAAGUACUGUACAGUGGACAGCAGAAUUAUCAGAACUUGGAGAAGUUCUUACAAGCUAG